This 91-nucleotide small nucleolar RNA is filed under the name Bos indicus x Bos taurus (hybrid cattle). RNAcentral describes it as "Small nucleolar RNA SNORD116 (ENSBIXG00005018302.1)". It matches the Rfam family "Small nucleolar RNA SNORD116". Rfam says of the family: HBII-85 is a member of the C/D class of snoRNAs, which contain the C (UGAUGA) and D (CUGA) box motifs. HBII-85 is encoded in a tandemly repeated array with another C/D snoRNA, HBII-52, in the Prader-Willi syndrome (PWS) region of chromosome 15. The record is from RNAcentral. Lineage: Eukaryota; Metazoa; Chordata; Mammalia; Artiodactyla; Bovidae.
CGAUCGAUGAUGACACCCUCACAUGCAUUCUUGGAAAAUUGAACAAAAUGAGUGAGAACUCACUACCGUCUCCUCAUCGAAACUGAGGUCC